Molecule: ribosomal RNA, 239 nt
Filed under: uncultured bacterium
Lineage: Bacteria
Description: partial 16S ribosomal RNA
Rfam family: Bacterial small subunit ribosomal RNA
Source: RNAcentral
AAUCCUGGCUCAGGAUGAACGCUAGCGGCAGGCUUAACACAUGCAAGUCGAGGGGCAGCAUAAUGGAUAGCAAUAUCUAUGGUGGCGACCGGCGCACGGGUGCGUAACGCGUAUGCAACCUACCUUUAACAGGGGGAUAACACUGAGAAAUUGGUACUAAUACCCCAUAAUAUCAUAGAAGGCAUCUUUUAUGGUUGAAAAUUCCGAUGGGUUAAGAGGAUGGGCAUGCGUUGUAUUAG